GGAGAGUUGUCCGAGUGGCCGAAGGAGCACGAUUGGAAAUCGUGUAACGGUCAAAAGCCGUUCGAGGGUUCGAAUCCCUCACUCUCCGCCA
This 91-nucleotide transfer RNA is filed under the name Acidobacteriota bacterium. RNAcentral describes it as "tRNA-Ser". It matches the Rfam family "tRNA". Rfam says of the family: Transfer RNA (tRNA) molecules are approximately 80 nucleotides in length. Their secondary structure includes four short double-helical elements and three loops (D, anti-codon, and T loops). The record is from RNAcentral. RNAcentral also lists the same sequence under 2 other names. Lineage: Bacteria; Pseudomonadati; Acidobacteriota.